Carassius auratus (goldfish) is the source of this 1098-nucleotide long non-coding RNA. RefSeq lists it as uncharacterized. The transcript is spliced from 2 exons. NCBI's taxonomy places the organism in Eukaryota, Metazoa, Chordata, Actinopteri, Cypriniformes, Cyprinidae. The record is from RefSeq and is a predicted model, not a curated record.
CAUCUGUGCUAGGCCUCCUAAAACAACUGAUUUACAUUGAGUUCUAGGCACAGGUGAAAACUGCAUGCAUCAUCAUGUUGAUCUCUAUCUUGUUUCAAUGCAGAUCUAGAGCUGAAUGGGACGGGUUAUGGAGAUAAGGGUGAGACUCCGCCCCCACUUCCUGUCAAGAGCAGCAUGGGCGACUAUGGAAACUUGAUGGACAACUCAGACCUGGCCAGUCCGACCACGCCCCCUCCUCCACUGCCACACCAGCGGCACCUUCCGCCUCCGCUACCCAUGAAGACCCCUCCUCCUCCUCCUCCGAAGACCACUCGCAAGCAGACCUCCAUCGACUCGGGAAUCGUCCAGUAAGCCAGCAGACACCAUCGUCAGAACGGAGACAUCCGCAUCGGCCCUCUUCCAACGAUUUCCCGUCAACAUCCCUGACAGAAUGACAUGAUGAAUCCCUCACCUCACUCCUCCGCUCAACGGCUGAUGAUCGUCCACAUCCGGAUCAGACCUCGGAGCAUGCACCCCAGUGACAACACCAGCUCUAUUCCACAUCACUCCAGGCGUCAGACGACAGCAAAUAUAGACGCAGUGUAGCUGGAGUCAGGGAAUUCUGGGUAUUUUUGGCAGAUGGUGCAUGUCUAACUAAAACUCCACUUGAGAUGAAUCCAGGGUUUUCUCCCUUUAGGUUUUUUCUCGCUUUGUAUGCACAUUCUCAUUGAGACGCGUGACCAAUUCAAACCACAAUCAAAGUUUCCUCUUUCUCUCAUUUUUACAUGAUAUUUUUAUCCUCUAUAUACACAUUUAUGUACAGAGGUAUUUGUAUAUAUGAUUUUAUUUUAUUGUUUUAUUUUUUAUAUUUUUUAUCCUUUUUUGUAUUUGAAGUUUAUAAAAAUUGGCAUUUUUUUUUAUCCAAAAAGGGCUUGGUUUUCCAAUAAGAGGGAGUGUAAAGGUAUUAUUACAUAUAUAUUUUUUAAUUGUAUUUUUUAUUUGUGUAGUUGUUUAAAGUCAUUGUACCAAUCCAGCAUAUAAACCACAUACAAGCAUACUGAUAACAUUGACUGCUCUAAACCCACUACUGACUUCUGAAUAAACUCAGUGUAUUUGUAA